This 447-nucleotide ribosomal RNA is filed under the name uncultured bacterium. RNAcentral's name for it is "partial 16S ribosomal RNA". It matches the Rfam family "Bacterial small subunit ribosomal RNA", at positions 29 to 523 of the family's 1533-position model. The record is from RNAcentral.
AACGAACGCUGGCGGCAGGCUUAACACAUGCAAGUCGAGCGCCCCGCAAGGGGAGCGGCAGACGGGUGAGUAACACGUGGGAAUCCACCCAUCCCUGCGGAACAACUCCGGGAAACUGGAGCUAAUACCGCAUACGCCCUACGGGGGAAAGAUUUAUCGGGGAUGGAUGAGCCCGCGUUGGAUUAGCUAGUUGGUGGGGUAAAGGCCUACCAAGGCGACGAUCCAUAGCUGGUCUGAGAGGAUGAUCAGCCACAUUGGGACUGAGACACGGCCCAAACUCCUACGGGAGGCAGCAGUGGGGAAUAUUGGACAAUGGGCGCAAGCCUGAUCCAGCCAUGCCGCGUGAGUGAUGAAGGCCUUAGGGUUGUAAAGCUCUUUCACCGAUGAAGAUAAUGACGGUAGUCGGAGAAGAAGCCCCGGCUAACUUCGUGCCAGCCGCCGCCGUAA